This 7780-nucleotide long non-coding RNA is filed under the name Chlamydomonas reinhardtii. Its description in RNAcentral is "long non-coding RNA (CREI_LNC000175)". The record is from RNAcentral. Lineage: Eukaryota; Viridiplantae; Chlorophyta; Chlorophyceae; Chlamydomonadales; Chlamydomonadaceae.
UUGUUGGCGGGCUGGAAGUCGCGGGCAGUCUUGGGGCGCUGGACCAGGAAGCCCAUGAUCUGCACCUGCUUCUGGUUGUCGAAGGCCACCAGGCGCACGUAGGCAUCGGGGAAGGCCUUGGUGCAGGCGACGAUCUCGCGCAGCACCUGCAUGGGGUCGCGGCAGCCGAACAUGGGCAGCUUCCACAUGGUCCAGUAGCGGUUGUCGUAGUACAGCUGCGGGCGCACGGGAAAUGGGAGGGAGAAGAGGUUCAGUCACCAGCGCACAGAACCACCAAAGAUGGAAUUGGGCCCCUUGCUUUUCCGUGCUGAAGCACGAGCAGGGGUAUGCGUCAGUUCCCCGCGGUGAGAUAGGCGCUGUCCCGGUGCCAAGCUAACCCAGUGCCACAGUGGACCCGUCUGGCUCUCGCUCCGACUUACGCAAGACACGCUGCCGAAGCGGAUGGCCGACUCGUUGGACACGUAGGCCUUGUCGGCCUCAGCGAACUCCAGGCAGGGGAUCCAGCCUGCAAGCGACAGCACGAAGGGGGUAAGAUAAGUGGCCGACGCAAGCAGUCCAGGGCUAUCCCAGAUAAGGGCGGAUGACAGGCAAACUAUACAGCAGACAACGAACAAGCUAAUCUCAAGCUUCGAGCGAUCGUAAUGUCGCAGUCUGCAGCUACGCCCUAGAUCGUAUUAACUAGCUCUCAAACACAGCCCAGCUACAUAUGCCCACGGCACCAAGCCGUGCUCACCGUUGGCGACGAUGUAGUCGACCUGGGCGGCGAUCUGCUCGUCGGUCAGAGGAGGCAGGUAGGAGAAGGUCUCGAACAUCCUGCGAUCACGCGAUUGACCAGUACUCGUUAGAAGUGGCAGAGCACGUGCGAUGUGAGGCAGCAGGCUGGGCCCCAAGCAAUUGCGUCGCGACUUGCAGAAUCCCUAUCCUUCGGGCUGCGCUUGCUCGUCGACUCACUUGUUGUUGACCGGGGUCCAGACCAUCAUCUGGUUGGCCUGAGCCGGGGCAGCCACGGGGGCAGCCUUGACGGCGGGCUUCAGCGCGGCCAUGGGGCGCACGCUGGAGCGGGCCGGGCGAGCCACGGCCGCGGAGACGGAGGACUUGGCAAUGACGGCGGCCAUUUUAGAUGUUUGAGAAAGUGGUCGAAUGAACGAGUAAGUUCUUGGGACAAAGACUCGGAGGUGGCCGGUCGCCGUUUUCAAUCCCCGCUCGCCGAUGACCCGUACGGCAGGCUUAUCCGACUCGUCGGCUUUCACGACCGCCCGAGCCUGCGCGCUUCAUCCGCUUCCGGAUAGCUUGCUACGAUAAUGCAUUAUUCAAUUUUACGACGCAAUGUCAUGAGCAGCGCCGGGCGGGCUUAUUUACAUGCGUCGCCUCGCUCGCCGUUGACUUGAUACUUUGGAAAUUCGGGCUCGAUUCGUUGCUACAGCCUGCCUUUUGCACACAAUGUGAACGUCGAUUCUACAUUUGUAUGUGACUGAACUUCGCGGCCCCUACUGAACGUUUCGUGCAAGCGACAUGUCGACUCACAACUUGGAGGAACGCGCGAGGGGUCCCCACACGCACUUUCAGCCUGCUUUGGCGAAAUGGACAUGAUAGGUAUAGCCAGGAUAUGGGUCUGCUAGCUCGCCUGGUGUUUUGACCGUCGAUCGGUUUCGCGUUGGGCCUUGCGGCUGCUCGCUCGCCGCGGAUGCUUCCGCACACUGCGCGGCACGUGUUAGUCUGUGCACGACGACGGUUUGUUUGUAUUGCGCCGCCAACGUUCAACGGUGGUGGUAGGUUCGAAUGUCAGAAUGUCGGGCACGGGGACCUUGGGCGCAUUGCCUACAAGCGCGUGCCUGUGUUUUUGGGGGGCAGAGAAGUGAGCCUGCCUAUUGGGUCACAAUAGCACAGAGGCGGGUGGCCAGCGUCGGGAACUGGUUCAGAACGGCUGCAGGGACAGCACCGUGCGUGCGUGUGUGUGUGGGGGGAGCCUUCAAAGUUGACGAGCUUCGCAGCGCUGGGAUGGACUGGCAUUGCGUGCUUGAGUUUGCGUCCCGUGAGAACCCUGCAGUUUAUGGCGGAGACAGGGAAGAGGGAAUGGGAUCGCGCCGGUGCAGGGAAAGGGCACGAAUCUGAGGUUACGGUAUCUGGGGGGAGGUGCCCAUGUGGGAGGGGAAGCCUAACUGCCUGUCUGGGUGCAGACCAGGAAUGGCAACACGUGAACGGUUAGUAGAGAGCUGUGUGCUGUUGGGCGCUCUCGGCAAGGGGCGUGGGAGGGGGCUGGGUUGGUGGGCGGCUGUCCGCACAGUGCCUAGCAGUGCGCACUCAGGCCCUUCGCAGACCGAAGAGGGCGCCAGGGCCUAUGCGCGCGUGGCUUGGCGUGAGGUUCUUGCUGUUGGCGUCAGGCGCCGCAAAAGGCCGGGUGGCUCUGCAGUGUCCUGCUCGCUUGGCGUGCGGCAAAGUGGUUCAGUCAGCGAGCGCAGUGUAUGCGUGUGUGCGUGUAUGCGUGUGCGUGCGUGUGUGUGUGUGUGUGUGUGUGUGUGUGUGUGUGUGUGUGGUUGCUGCGGAGAGGGCACGCAGCGACACGAGAUUGCCAUGCAGUGGUGCAAGCUGCUGGGGUCGGGUAAACGGGGUGGGAAAGUUGGUGAUGGUGGAAUGUUCUUGUGGCACGAACUGGCCUUGUGCGUAUUCGUUCGCCCCGUUCACUCUGGUCCACCAAUCCCACAGUCACUGCACUUAAAUGCCUAAAAGCCCCUGCUACGGUGCGGACAGGGUAAGGCCACGGCAGGUCUAAGUCCAUAUGCGCCCGUAGAGGUUCGAGUGCGUUAACCGGUCGCAAGGUGUUCACAACAUGUUGAUGUGUUGACAACAUGGCUGUGGUCAAGACGUGCCCUGCGAACUUCCCGUGUUUACAUGUUAAUAGAGCUCGCUGACAGCAGUCAUUUGACACCAUUAUGGAAGAAAACAGAGGGGAUUUAGGGGGUGUACGGCACGGUAUGGCACGGUCGGUCGUCGGUCCGGGGGGUCGGGGGGUUCUGCAGGGUGGGGCCUGGAACUAUUGUUCGUACACCCCCGCCUGGCUCCCCUGCUCCCCCUGACUAACCCCUGACCUCUGGCUUUCUUCGCUUUCCUUUCAGUGUCACCAAUUCUCAUGAGUGGGGGCGCACCCCGAAAUAAGCGGGUACGGUGCUUCAGUUCAGUGCUUGCCACGGCCUCAAGAGCCCCAAACCACGUGCACCGAAAUUCGCUUGCACUCCAAAUGCACUGGGAAGCCAGUAGCAGCGCGCUCUCAAAUGCUGGCAUGUGUCUCUCUCUGUCCAGAGCCUGAAUGCGCCAAGUCUGCUACGGUAGGAGGGUGCAACCCGUGGCCCGCCUUGAACCGCGCUUGCACACACAGCUGGAUUGCUGCUGGCAUGACCGUGUGAAAGAGGUACAGGCAGCCGGGCAAGUCCCAGCGGGCAGGUUGGUGUAGGCUAUGCCCCAUAACAGGCCCGUGCAUGCUGCCACGGACUUCUCGCCAGGAAUGUAAGUCCCGAUGCUAGACAAUUACUCCAGCAGCUGCAUGCCGCCAUCUUCAGUACUCGGUAUCCCUUGGUGCACGCAAGUCAAGGAUCAGUCCCAGGGCUCACCCUGGAGCAAUGCAGCCUGCGUGUGCACCUGCGAUGGAGCCGCGGCCUGCGGUAUUGGCUGCCCGAUUACGAAGCUGCGGGUGGGGGCAGUUGGCACGCAUUCCGCCACAGACCCCGCGAGCCUAGCCGCACCCAAGCUCUAAGCGGCCUAGACCGUGACCAAAGGCGAAGAAGCCGCGGCCAUCCCUGCGCUCAGAUUGCAUUGGUUACAAGAGGGACCUGCUGACGCAGUUCAUGGCUUCAUGCGCUCAGAGCCCGAGCCCUGAGCGGCAGCAAAAGCAGAAGCCACGCUACGUGUGCUAGCUACGACCAAUGCCUUGUACAGCUCUCCUCGGCUGCGCUCUUCGGCUGCGCUCCUCGGCUGCGCGGGACAGGGGACUCCGUGCAACCACUAUUGCUUAUAGCCUGCACCAGUCAUUGACGAGUGUUGCGGAACUAAUGCGUACGUAGACCAGAGCGGAAGGCGGAGUGGGCUUGCAGGCGGCACGAGAGUAGGCAGUCAGUAGCGCAAGUUGCGAAUUCCCAUGUUACCUCGUAACCGACGGUAAACGCUGUGGACGGUCGCGCCCAUGGCUGGCUGACGGAAGCUGGCUGCGGUAUUGGGAUGGCUGGGCUGGAUGACGCCGGCCGGGCUGGCGUUGGGACUACCAGAAAGGAUGCGCCCGAAACCAACCUGGAGAACACCAGCGCCACCGGUGCCCAGCACGACAUGUAAGGGAGGGAGGGAGGGACAGGAGGCGUGAUGCACUGCAGCGUAGAAGCUGCAGUCAUGGGCACAGCUUGUACCAUACAGCACGGUCAUCAAGGACACAAUGCCGGAACGGCAUCAUACGAGGCGGGGUUGGGAGCUGCAGGAAGUGGGCAGCGGGGCAGAAUCAAAGGUUUGCAUCGUUUAGAACAGGUGCGGAACACGCGCCAGCGCCAGCGCGGAGGACCCCAAGUAAGGCCUUUACUCACCAAUGUACGUUUUGUACACCCAAUCUCGCCCCCUAUCGACGUUGGCACUAGGUAGCUGGCUAUCAUUCUAUGCAGAUUAAGCAAAGGGGCACCGGGAACAACUGACUCAUGUUCGUCACUGCAGGUUACUGCAAAUGCUGUCUCCACCUUUGCUGCACGGUUCCGUUUCGUCACGUUUGCUGGUGUUGCUACCCGCCGUUCUUUAGUGUGUAACUGAUCUGCGAACCGAGUCCCCUUCAGCUGAUGAACCCCGCAGCAACUUUUCCAAAAGCGCUUCAAAUACGCCCAGCCCGCCCAUGGAGAAAGAGGCCAAAAUCAACGGAGGAUCGUUACAACCAACAAAAUUGCAAAACUCCUCCGCUUUUUACGUGUUGAAAAAGACUGAUCAGCACGAAACGGGGAGCUAAGCUACCGCUUCAGCACUUGAGAGCAGUAUCUUCCAUCCACCGCCGUUCGUCAGGGGGCAAGGCUCAGAUCAACGAGCGCCUCCAUUUACACGGAGCGCUUGUUGGCGGGCUGCCAGUCGCGGGCAGACUUGGGGCGCUGGACCAGGAAGCCCAUGAUCUGCACCUGCUUCUGGUUGUCGAAGGCCACCAGGCGCACGUAGGCAUCGGGGAAGGCCUUGGUGCAGGCGACGAUCUCGCGCAGCACCUGCAUGGGGUCGCGGCAGCCGAACAUGGGCAGCUUCCACAUGGUCCAGUAGCGGUUGUCGUAGUACAGCUGCGGGCGCACGGGAAAUGGGAGGGAGAAGAGGUUCAGUCACCAGCGCACAGAACCACCAAAGAUGGAAUUGGGCCCCUUGCUUUUCCGUGCUGAAGCACGAGCAGGGGUAUGCGUCAGUUCCCCGCGGUGAGAUAGGCGCUGUCCCGGUGCCAAGCUAACCAGUGCCACAGUGGACCCGUGUGCCAAAAGCUAACCCAGUGCCACAGUGGACCCGUCGGGCUCUCGCCAGACUUACGCAAGACACGCUGCCGAAGCGGAUGGCCGACUCGUUGGACACGUAGGCCUUGUCCGACUCAGCGAACUCCAGGCAGGGGAUCCAGCCUGCAAGCAAGGGGAUGAAGGGUGCCGCGAAGGGUGAACGAGGGACAAAGACACGGACAGGAACCGGAUAAGGGGCGGCUUGACCAAGAACUCACGCUCCGACCGCUACUUCGGCAACCCAAAUAAGUGAUUCCACGCUAUGGCUCUGUCGCUGUCGUAUAGCCCGGCUGGUAGCAGCUGGAAAGCUCAAGUGAGGCUGGACAAGCCGCGCUGGCAUGAGUGCAAGCUGUUUGCCCAAGAAAAAGCCGCCGAAAGCCCAGGCUGACUGCAGAUUCCUGACUUGGGCACUGUUCGUUGCUGGAGUGUUGCUCGCAACCCCGCAAGCUCACCGUUGGCGACAAUGUAGUCGACCUGGGCGGCGAUCUGCUCGUCGCUCAGGGGGGGCAGGUAGGAGAAGGUCUCGAACAUCCUGCAAAUGGAAACGGCGACGCAGGGUUAGAUGCUGCUUGAGACAGCGACAGAGGAGCCAAAAGCCUUCGUCGACACAAUGCGGGCGUUGCAAGUCAAAUCUGCAAGCACGCUGCCUGAUCCGCCGGGCUUGCUCGUCGACUCACUUGUUGUUGACCGGGGUCCAGACCAUCAUCUGGUUGGCCUGAGCCGGGGCAGCCACGGGGGCGGCCUUGACGGCGGGCUUCAGCGCGGCCAUGGGGCGCACGCUGGAGCGGGCCGGGCGGGCCACGGCCGCGGAGACGGAGGACUUGGCAAUGACGGCGGCCAUUUUAAGAUGUUGAGUGACUUCUCUUGUAAAAAAGUAAAGAACAUAGGCCCCCUGGCCGGUUUAUCAGGAGGGCACCGCUCCAGGGGCUGCAUGCGAACUGCUUGCAUUGGCGCCUAGCCUUUGUGGGCCAGGGGGCUUCCGGAUAAGGGUUGCAAGUGCUCAAAUACCCCAUCAAACAUCAUCCUGGUUUGGCUGCGCUCCUUCUGGCGCGCCCGGGAAGCCGGGCUUGCACGCAGAGUGAGGAUGCGGCACGGGUGCACGCGCACGAUAGUCACUUUGCAUUCUCAGGACGUUCGCGACGCUAUUAAGGCUGGGUUUUAUCAAAACUAACGAGCUCGGCCACGCGGGCGAGUUCAAACCGUGGCGUGACACAACUAAUAUACGCCCCCGUCGCGGCGGCCCCGGCUGGCGCGCAAAGCAUGCCAAUUACCUUCAUCUGUCACGAAGUAUCAUAGGACGGCAGGCGGGGCAUCUGGGCCGCUCUCGCGGUGUUGCUAGGAAACAGACAAUGUUCCUGCCGUUUGUCCAGUUUUUCGUCGUUUCUGGCGCCGUGUCGCCUCUAAGAGGUAUGUGGAAGAGUUUUACCUGGCUCGCGUCGAAUGUAUAGACCCGUGCGCCGGCGCAUGCGGCGAUCCGGGUUGUGCCGACGGUCGCGGCUUGCUUGACGUGGGCUGCGUAGUUCACCACUCCCCUGGGGCACUGGGUUCAUCAUCAUUUGUACACACUGAGACAGUGCGGUACUACCAUCGUGCAGGGGACUCCGAAGUUCGGUCCACCAAUCCACCAAUGGCGCUAGGACGGGACUUGACGGGAUCGGCGUAGGACGGUGGAACGGGUGCGGUUUGCGUAAUGCAUCAGGGGGGGUCGUGACAGAGGCACGAGAGCUCCCGUCAUGCAGAACGCCGUGGAGAGCCGCUGAGGGGUUUGGAAAGGUGAAAGGGGGGGUCCUAACGGGUCCUAUGACUCGCGGUGGGUUUCUUGCAAUCAUGUCAGGUAAGCGUCGGACCCCUGCAUAAUGCAAAUUACUUUGCGUCUGUUAUACCUAAGGCAGCAAUGCACGGUGGCGGUGGGUGGUGAUCCCUUGGUCGUUCAGACUUCCGACUGCACCCUACAAAAGGACUGAACGCACAGGGAUUGGAUCCUAGGGGUGACCGCACAGGGACCUGGACCCCGCCUACCGGCGCGCGCUGGUGCUGCGUGAGCUGCUGGGCUACCCCGCCGACGUCCCGUGCCGAAGCGGCCCACCUGUACCCACCGCCGCCGGGGAAGUGACAUGGGUUAGCAACCCGGCCUAUCCACUUUGGGUCGGGGCAGCGGCGGGGCAGGGCGGGGCAGGGUGCCGACGUGCUGUGACCUGCGGGACGGCGUGUCACAAAGCGUGUGCGAGAACGGCAAGGGAAGGGGCGAACCCAGGCGCGGCCUGGACGCGUAGACAGAACUGCAGGUGCAGGCGGGC